ACUUCUUUGGCAGAUAAGUGCGCUAGGCUUAGAACCUAUAAAUGUAAGGUGUUUUACAGGUAGUA
Molecule: transfer RNA, 65 nt
Filed under: Glossotermes oculatus
Lineage: Eukaryota; Metazoa; Arthropoda; Insecta; Blattodea; Rhinotermitidae
Description: tRNA-Leu
Source: RNAcentral